UAGAUUCAAGUUGAAAAAAAGGGACUUACCAAGUAAGCACGAAAAGGGAAUCCUAUUUCAGGAAUUCAAGCAGAACAAACAGGAGUUACCACAUUGGGAAGAAGACGAUACAAAAGGAGAAGGCUUAUUCUCUAGCUGAAAGAAGGAGGUAUACAUGCAUAUAUAUAUACAUAUAUAUAGAACUACUUGUUGAAGCUCAACCAUCAAUACAAAAUGGAGAUCAUAACGUGGCAAGCACAAUGAGAAAAUAUGAUUGCGUGUAUGAAUUGGAUAUAACGAGUUAAGAAAGAGACGUGGAAAAACAGGGUGGAAGAGGAAAUGACGACAAGAACUGUGAUGUGGAUAUUCGCGGUGAGGUUGGUUUUUUGUGUAUUCAUGUCUUGGCUUCGAAAAUCGGUUGGAGCUUUUGUUGUUGAGAGUAAGUUUUGAACAUUUUUAAGUUCUAGUUAACACAUGGAAAGAAGAAUUUAAUUUUUUGUAUACCAAAAUUAGAUUUUUACAAAUAACCAAAGUUAAGUGUACUCGGGCAAGAGUAGUACUAGGAUGAGUGAUCUCUAUGAAGUCCUCAUGUUGCAUCCCUCCUUUUGGUUGAUAUUCGGUAUGAUACCGUUGAUUUGAUUCAAUUUUUUUUUUUGCAGAAACGACAUUCGGACGGAGACAUUGUUAAGACAGGUGAUGGAGGCGCUUAGGAUGGACAUGGACUGAUCAAAGGUUGUGUUUGCAUUAUACCAUGAUGCAAGAAAAAUGAACAACAUACCUAGUACCUAGUGUAACUCCACAAAUGAGGGUCGGAGAGGGUGGUGCAUACGCAGCCUUAACCCUACCUUUCGAAGGUAGAGAGGAUGCAAGAGACAUAUCGGGAAAACCUAUACUUGUGAAAAGAUGGGUGCUCUCUCUCUUUCCAUCCAUCUAAGUCUUAGAUGACAGAGUUACUCAAUACCUACGAUGGCGGGAGGUAGCAGAUACCCCACACGUCUUAUAGGAGUGUACGAUUGACUCGGUCAGGUGGCAAACAAGUGGUUGAAUGCAAGUUGAUCGAUCCAGAGGACAUCAUUAUGAAAAACAGGUUCGAUCUUCAACAUUUCAUUAACACAGUCUUUCCCCUUUGCGAUUACACAUUUUCUUGUCAUAUUGAACUAGUAAACUUUUAACGUUUUGAAAUGAAGCGUGUUUUGAAUUUAUUUACUUGAAAUCUUGUUACGUACACAGUUGAAGUCUAAAAUAUCUAGAGGACCAAGACUAUGAUCAGAAACACAUAUUACAGAUUGCACAUACAACAUUUUCGUAGUUCUUGAACAAAAGGUUGAAUUGCACACUAACGAUUCAAUAAGGAUAGUCUUUUUUUCUGUAGUAUGAGGAUCCAAUAAGGAUUCGAUUCCUCCUCUCUCGAGUGUGCCUGGACGUGCUGUUUAACUUGACACAAGAUAUCUGAACAGAAGACUUUCCGAUUAUACAAUGUGUAAAUCUUCCAAGCACAAACCUCUGAACCAUUCAAGAUAGUGAGAAUAAAUUGAGAUGAAACUCGAUUCAUCAUUAUCGUUACGUUGAGGAUUAGCCAGCAGUAUUUCACCUGUUGGAAGGUUAGUAAAAACUACACUACAUAUUAUUGGUAUAAAAAGCUUCUUAUAAAUCAUCCUAUUUUAUUUUCAAGAUUACAAAUAUGUAUUAUAUGGGUGAACUAAUUGGUAGAAAAUGAAUAUAGUAAUUUUUCAUUGUUAUUUCUUUCAAUAAUGAUAUAUUAAAAACGGGCAUAAUACAUAUAUUGAACCCUAAAUUUGGCUUCAAAUUUUAAUUUUGACCUCCAACUUUAAUAAUGCACGAACAGACACUUUAACUAUCUAACUUUUAAAUAAAUAAACAAAUGAGUCUUACAUAGCAAAAUACACGUAGGACAAAAAAUGACAUGUAAAACAUGUGUGUCUAUUUGUUCAACUUUAUACAAGUUUAAGUGUCUACUUGUGCACACCCAAGGUUGAAGGGUAUAAAUGUAAUUUGAAACCAAGUUAAAGGACAUAUUUCUGUAUUAUGCCUAAAAAAGUCAAGUCAGAUUCGAACUAGCAACCUCAAAUACACUAAAGGUCAAAACCAUCAAACCACACAUUGAACGAUGUUAUGUUUUCAUUUAAUUUAUAUUUAUUGUUAUCUCUUUUUUUUUUUCUUAUACUUGUUUUACUAGAGUCAAUUUUAUAUGUAUUCAUACAAUUUCUUCUCGCUUUAUACAAAUACAAACGCAUUUUAUACAUUUGAGUUUUUAUAAAAAACAAGAGAGGCGAGCGAGACUGCCACCUGACAAGCGAAAUUCCACCCGGGAAAGUGGCGAAAAUAGCUAUAGUUUGCUAUAGGACACAAUUAAAUAAAAAAAAUAUUUAUAACAUUUAAUUUGAAUUAAUAAUUUGUUAUUAUAUAUACAAUUUUCCCAUGUUAUUUCAUUCUGGUAGGGUUUGGCCCAAUAUUGUUGGAAUAGAAGACCUAAAAAUUGUUUAGAAUAAAUUUUUUAAUCAAUGGAGAUACCUGAAGGCGCGGUAAUCGAGAUCUUGUUGCGUCUACCAUUGAAGUCUCUCUACGUAUGCAAGUGUGUCUCAAAGUGGUGGUGUUCAAUCAUCUCUGAUAUUGAAAAACUUCAUCAUGCUCGCAAUUUAGGCAUCUUCGUAUCCAAUUUCGGUUGUUCAAGUUUCAAUUACUUGUUCCAAUCGAAGCUUACUCUGAACAAUAUCUCUCCUACACAUUUUAUCAAACAGUUGGUGGGCGGUGCCG
RNAcentral lists this long non-coding RNA (2754 nucleotides) under Solanum lycopersicum (tomato). RNAcentral's name for it is "long non-coding RNA (SLYC_LNC000858)". The record is from RNAcentral. Lineage: Eukaryota; Viridiplantae; Streptophyta; Magnoliopsida; Solanales; Solanaceae.